UGGUUAUGGCAUCGAUGAAGAACGCAGCGAAAUGCGAUAAGUAAUGUGAAUUGCAGAAUUCAGUGAAUCAUCGAAUCUUUGAACGCACAUUGCGCCCUCCGGUAUUCCGGAGGGCAUGCCUGUCCGAGCGUCACUAAAAGAAGUCUCAAGCCCUGCUUGUCGUUGAGCCUCGCCCCUGCUGCGGGCGGGCUCUAAACACUUCGGCGGUGGCCCCGGGCCUCAAGCGGUAGUAGAAACACAUUCCCGCUUACGGAGGACCGGGCGCGACUCGCUCCCAGAACCAAAACACAUCAAGUAUUGACCUCGGAUCAGGUAGGGAUACCCGCUGA
Molecule: unclassified non-coding RNA, 329 nt
Filed under: uncultured fungus
Lineage: Eukaryota; Fungi
Description: partial contains 5.8S ribosomal RNA and internal transcribed spacer 2
Rfam family: 5.8S ribosomal RNA (bases 1-133)
Source: RNAcentral